Phoenix dactylifera (date palm) is the source of this 1839-nucleotide RNA transcript. It is a transcript of the gene named casein kinase II subunit beta-1, with no coding region annotated. The record is from RefSeq and is a predicted model, not a curated record. NCBI's taxonomy places the organism in Eukaryota, Viridiplantae, Streptophyta, Magnoliopsida, Arecales, Arecaceae.
UCUCUCUCUCCCCCCCCCUCUCUCUCUCCCCUCCUCCUCCCCCCCUUCUCUAUUCCUUUGAACGAAACCCUAACUCCUCUAAAACCCUAAUCCUUCUUCCCUUCUCUUCCUCCCCCUUCGUUAAUACCAGAAUAUACGGUUUCUAGCUCGAUUGUUCCCCCUUUUCCUUAAAUAUACGGGAUCUCCGCCAUUGAUUUUGUGAUUUUUCUCGUUUUUCCCUUCUUGCUGAUACUAGUUUCCCCUUUGAUCUCGAAUCGGUUUCUCUGGCGGUCUAGGGUUCGAAAUUUUUUAUUUUGUUCUCAAUUAGCAUGGCGGAGCGAGUGGAUUGAGCUGAUCCGAAGGGUAGAAAGGGUACUUGCUAGGGGCGGAAGGAUGUACAGGGAUCGAGGAGGGAGCGGGUCGAAGCCGGAGACUGGGACCCUUGAUAGAAAGCGGAUCAAUGAUGCCCUAGACAAGCACCUGGAGAAAUCGUCGCCGUCUACUUCCAGGGGGUUGAACGGGAGGGAGAAGGAGCGGCUCUCCGUGCCGUCCACCUCUGCCGGGAAGCAGCCGGACCACCACCGGGACCAGCGCUCUGCCCCUCUUUCCAAGAACAAAUGCUCAGAUGAAGAAUCUGAAACAGAUAGUGAAGAGUCAGAUGUUAGUGGUUCUGAUUGUGAGGACACAUCUUGGAUUUCAUGGUUUUGUAACUUAAGAGGGAAUGAGUUCUUUUGUGAAGUCGAUGACGAGUACAUACAGGAUGACUUCAAUCUUUGUGGGUUAAGCAGCCAAGUUCCUUACUAUGACUAUGCUCUCGAUCUGAUUUUGGAUGUUGAAUCCUCUCAUGGUGACAUGUUUACUGAGGAACAAAAUGAGUUGGUUGAAUCGGCAGCGGAGAUGUUAUAUGGUCUGAUUCAUGUAAGAUACAUAUUAACCAGUAAGGGGAUGGCUGCAAUGUUAGACAAGUACAAGAAUUAUGACUUUGGAAGAUGCCCAAGAGUUUAUUGCUGCGGUCAGCCCUGCCUUCCAGUUGGGCAAUCAGACAUUCCUCGAUCUAGUACUGUGAAAAUCUACUGCCCAAAGUGUGAAGAUAUAUACUACCCAAGAUCUAAGUACCAAGGCAAUGUUGAUGGAGCUUACUUUGGCACCACAUUCCCUCACCUGUUCCUAAUGACAUACGGACACCUGAAGCCACAAAAGCCAUCACAGCGAUACGUUCCAAGAGUGUUUGGCUUUAAAAUUCACAAACCAUGAUGUUGGAGGAGGAUUGUUCUAUCAGAAACAGCUCAUAAGCUUUCCUCAUUCUUCUUUAUUAGAGAUGUUCUGGCAAGCGCAAAACUGCAAGGAUUAUCACUCAGAUGCAUUGUGAAGGAAUUUUAGUGCGGAGCUGCAAGAUGAUUUUUUUUUUCUGCUUAAAUUAUUGCCUGUGAAUUGAGGGGCUUUCUCUGCACUUCACUAUUGAAAGUCAUACCAUUCAGACACAGGUGCAGCUUGUUGAGAAGGUAAGAUGUAGUAGUUAACCAGAUGAUGAUAUCAAAAAAGAUUGCAAGCAGCUACUUGAAGGCAUGGGAGUGUGGCUGCUGAGCUUCGUUACCACUCUAGUCUGUGCAGGGUCUGUCUGUCUUCGCAUAUCUCUUGCACCCAAGCUCUUUAUAAGCAUCUGGUCUAUCUCUCCUUCCUUUCGCCCCUACUGUUUCUUUUGUUCCAAGGAGUGCUUCAUUGUUUCCCAAUUCUUUGUUGUACCUUGUCUCUUUUGUGCGUCUGGUUAGAACUCAGAAUUCCUGGGAUAGCCAUCAGGGUACUGAAUGCUUGACAGGCUUCUUGGUGGAGCAGAUGCCCUAGCCAACUCAGCUUAAUAAA